This 177-nucleotide unclassified non-coding RNA is filed under the name uncultured Inocybaceae. Its description in RNAcentral is "sequence contains ITS2". The record is from RNAcentral. Lineage: Eukaryota; Fungi; Basidiomycota; Agaricomycetes; Agaricales.
AAUUCUCUCAACCACAAAUCAUGUGUUGUGGCUUGGAUAAUGGAGGGUGCAGGCUUUCAAGUCAAGCUCCUCUAAAAUAUAUGAGUGGGUGAUAUCUACCACAGAUGUGAUAAAUUAUCUACAUCUUGGUGGUAUACUGUAUUACACUGCUUCUAACCCCUCCUUUUUUGUUGACAU